This 931-nucleotide ribosomal RNA is filed under the name uncultured Bacillota bacterium. Its description in RNAcentral is "bacterial SSU rRNA". It matches the Rfam family "Bacterial small subunit ribosomal RNA", at positions 9 to 917 of the family's 1533-position model. The record is from RNAcentral. Lineage: Bacteria; Bacillati; Bacillota.
GACUUUGAUCAUGGCUCAGGACGAACGCUGGCGGCGUGCUUAACACAUGCAAGUCGAACGGAGAACUUAUUUCGGUAAGUUCUUAGUGGCGAACGGGUGAGUAACGCGUGGGCAACCUGCCCUCCAGUUGGGGACAACAUUCCGAAAGGGAUGCUAAUACCGAAUGUGCUCCCUCCUCCGCAUGGAGGAGGGAGGAAAGAUGGCCUCUGCUUGCAAGCUAUCGCUGGAAGAUGGGCCCGCGUCUGAUUAGCUAGUUGGUGGGGUAACGGCUCACCAAGGCGAUGAUCAGUAGCCGGUCUGAGAGGAUGAACGGCCACAUUGGGACUGAGACACGGCCCAAACUCCUACGGGAGGCAGCAGUGGGGAAUCUUCCGCAAUGGACGAAAGUCUGACGGAGCAACGCCGCGUGAGUGAUGAGGGUCUUCGGAUUGUAAAACUCUGUUGUUAGGGACGAAAGCACCGUGUUCGAACAGGUCAUGGUGUUGACGGUACCUAACGAGGAAGCCACGGCUAACUACGUGCCAGCAGCCGCGGUAAUACGUAGGUGGCAAGCGUUGUCCGGAAUUAUUGGGCGUAAAGAGCAUGUAGGCGGGCUUUUAAGUCUGACGUGAAAUUGCGGGGCUUAACCCCGUAUGGCGUUGGAUACUGGAAGUCUUGAGUGCAGGAGAGGAAAGGGGAAUUCCCAGUGUAGCGGUGAAAUGCGUAGAUAUUGGGAGGAACACCAGUGGCGAAGGCGCCUUUCUGGACUGUGUCUGACGCUGAGAUGCGAAAGCCAGGGUAGCAAACGGGAUUAGAUACCCCGGUAGUCCUGGCCGUAAACGAUGGAUACUAGGUGUAGGAGGUAUCGACCCCUUCUGUGCCGGAGUUAACGCAAUAAGUAUCCCGCCUGGGGACUACGAUCGCAAGAUUGCAACUCAAAGGAAUUGACGGA